UAAUCAUAAAUCAUUUUGGAUUCUUUACUUUUUCUCAAUGUGCAAUUACAGCUUAUUAAUCCUAAAUCCUAAAAAAUAGCAAUUACAGAUAAACUCUUUAUACAUAAUAAUGAAUGUCACAAUCUAUGACAAAUAAAGUAUACAAUAAUUUUACUGAUAAAAGAUAGUUUUAUUAGUAUUCAAGCAAACCAAUUACAUUCUGAUCACCCUGUAUAAAUACAUCGUCAUGUCGUAAGAUUUCACAUUAAAAAACAGAAUCUAAAACACCAUGGUUGUCACUACACUGCUGUAGCUUUAUACCCCUGAGACUGCAAUGCUUCACUACUUGGCAAAGCUCGAUCUAUUGCACUGGAUCACCCCCACCAUAGACUAUACUGUUGUUGUAAUGUUACCAUGCAUGUAAUCUGCUCUGCCAGUGGUAUCCUGACAUUAUUGGCAUUCAGUCCAUUGAUGAUCUGCAUGGAGAUUAAAUAAUUAUAUAAGCAUAAAAAUUAAUCAGAUCUUGUGUUUGCCAUUGUUUGAAUUAUUUCUUUAUUGUAAAGGAACAAAUAUAUUAUUCUGAUAAGAAGCUAUUAUAUCGUAAGCUUUCUACUUGAAUGGUGAAUGAAAGAUCAAAGAGAGACGCCAAGCAACAUACAUGUACUUGAGUGUUUUGGAUCAGAAUCCAGAGUGACUAGGCCUAUACCCCCAUCAAUUGCACCCAGGCUAAAUGCCCUUACGAUGUGGACCUACAACAAUGACAAACAUAUGGUAAAAUCAGGUGGUCGACAGAAAAUCACAAAUGAUUACUUACAGGAAAAAGUUCCCUGAUUAACCCACUUCAUAGUAAUAUUAUAGGACACUAAGUUCAACCAUAACAAUUUUUUUACCCAAGUUGUUCAAUAACUAGAGCUAGCAAACUUCAAGCAAUCAGAAAACAAUUACGAGACAACAAUCAACAAACUAUAAAUGGAGAAAUUUUUGAAACACCGAAAGAAAUGAACAACAGCUUGCUACUGACCUCAAAGGUGCCUCUGCAGGCUUAUCCAAAACUACUUGUUGAAAACUUGGUACUGACCUCGAAGGUGUCUCGGGUUUAUUGAGAACGACCUGUUCAAACUUAUUGCAGUCAGCCAAUAUGGAUGUAAUUAAAGUAGGCAUGCAGUGUACUAUGGUUUAUUUAUUCAUCAGCAUUAAAAUGUAAAAUUACGACACUAAUGAGCAACUUUCUUAUGAAUUAUUCAAAGAAAUAUGUCUGCAAAUUUUGUGCAAUUGUAUUAACAAAAUUGUAAAUGUAUUCCCAUCAUCAUCAUAUCAUAACAUCCAAAAUCUCAUUGAAAUGCAUAUUAAUUAUUAACCAAUCUACAGAGCUCAAACAAAUAAGUGACAUGCAGAGAGUGAGUGAGAGAGAAUUGAACCAUGGAAAGGGGAGUCAGGGGCUCAGAGGAGCUUUGUAAAUCCAGAAAUAGGAGAAUUUUCAGAGCUACAGAGGCAAACACAACAAGCAUUUUAAAGAGAAUUAAAGGGACACCUCUCACUUAAAAGCCCUAAACUUAUAAUUCAGAAAACCCCAAUUCUUACAUCAAGCCAAUAAAUUUAAUUUAGUAAAAUGAAAGAGAAACCAGAAAAAGAAUUAUAAGUAACACUCAC
Molecule: long non-coding RNA, 1629 nt
Filed under: Aquilegia coerulea
Lineage: Eukaryota; Viridiplantae; Streptophyta; Magnoliopsida; Ranunculales; Ranunculaceae
Description: long non-coding RNA (ACOE_LNC001665)
Source: RNAcentral